AAUUCCAAUAAAAAUCUAUUGUUAAUCAACAAUGAUCUAAACAACAAAUCCAUUUACAUUUAGACAACACUGACAGCAAUUAGUUGACUGGCAUUAAUUAACACUGUCGCACAGCGCUUAUUGUUUAAGUGCUUUUCCAGCACUGAGCAUCAGGCAUAAUUAAAGCAAAUACAGCAAAAUACACCAACUAAAUAUACUAAAAACCAGGAAGUACAUCAGUGAAAUAAUGAUCUUCCCUUUUGUUCGCUCUUCAACUGUCGACUGACAGCUGUUGACAGAAUGAGAUGCAAAGCGCAACAAAAAACGAUGCACAACAACAAACAACGAGCAACAAACAACAAACAUUUGGCUAUUCAGCACAACACUUCAACAGCUAAAGGAAUCCGUUUUGUACAUCAGUCAAACUGAAGUGGAAAUCGAUUUGCUGAGCACAAAAUAAUAAUUAAGAAUGAAUAACGAAUUGCUGUAAAUACCAGUCGGAUAAAAAGAGCUAGCUUGAUGAUCUCUACGAUCUUUGAAGGUCGUAAGAGCUCUGUAACUAAAAUGGUAUGAAGUGAAAUGAAAUAUAAUGGUAUGAAACGAAAUUCAAUUUAAUCUACAUGCAACUUUAUAUGAUAUUGAAAAC
Long non-coding RNA from Drosophila mojavensis, 625 nucleotides. RefSeq lists it as uncharacterized. NCBI's taxonomy places the organism in Eukaryota, Metazoa, Arthropoda, Insecta, Diptera, Drosophilidae. The record is from RefSeq and is a predicted model, not a curated record. The transcript has 3 exons.